RNAcentral lists this ribosomal RNA (385 nucleotides) under uncultured bacterium. Its description in RNAcentral is "bacterial SSU rRNA". It matches the Rfam family "Bacterial small subunit ribosomal RNA", at positions 29 to 415 of the family's 1533-position model. The record is from RNAcentral.
AUUGAACGCUGGCGGCAUGCCUUACACAUGCAAGCCGAACGGUAACGCGGGGGCAACCCUGGCGACGAGUGGCGAACGGGUGAGUAAUACAUCGGAACGUACCCAGUAGUGGGGGAUAGCUCGGCGAAAGCCGGAUUAAUACCGCAUACGACCUAUGGGUGAAAGCGGGGGAUCGCAAGACCUCGCGCUAUUGGAGCGGCCGAUGUCGGAUUAGCUAGUUGGUGAGGUAAAGGCUCACCAAGGCUACGAUCCGUAGCUGGUCUGAGAGGACGACCAGCCACACUGGGACUGAGACACGGCCCAGACUCCUACGGGAGGCAGCAGUGGGGAAUUUUGGACAAUGGGCGAAAGCCUGAUCCAGCCAUGCCGCGUGUGUGAAGAAGGG